RNAcentral lists this unclassified non-coding RNA (89 nucleotides) under Pseudomonas yamanorum. Lineage: Bacteria; Pseudomonadati; Pseudomonadota; Gammaproteobacteria; Pseudomonadales; Pseudomonadaceae. The record is from RNAcentral.
GUGGGAGCCGGGCUUGCCCGCGAUGACGGCGUGUCAGCAGAGACAUAUCUCACUGAUCCACCGCCAUCGCGGGCAAGCCCGGCUCCCAC